RNAcentral lists this ribosomal RNA (301 nucleotides) under uncultured bacterium. Its description in RNAcentral is "partial 16S ribosomal RNA". It matches the Rfam family "Bacterial small subunit ribosomal RNA", at positions 509 to 809 of the family's 1533-position model. The record is from RNAcentral.
CAGUAGCCGCGGGAAUACGUAGGGUGCAAGCGUUAAUCGGAAUUACUGGGCGUAAAGCGUGCGCAGGCGGUUUGUUAAGACAGAUGUGAAAUCCCCGGGCUCAACCUGGGAACUGCAUUUGUGACUGGCAGGCUAGAGUAUGGCAGAGGGGGGUGGAAUUCCGCGUGUAGCAGUGAAAUGCGUAGAUAUGCGGAGGAACACCGAUGGCGAAGGCAGCCCCCUGGGCCAAUACUGACGCUCAUGCACGAAAGCGUGGGGAGCAAACAGGAUUAGAUACCCCUGUAGUCCCUGUCUCUUAUAU